UACAGAAAAUUGUCUUGAAUGUUUCUAAAA
Molecule: non-coding RNA, 30 nt
Filed under: Mus musculus (house mouse)
Lineage: Eukaryota; Metazoa; Chordata; Mammalia; Rodentia; Muridae
Source: RNAcentral